Molecule: transfer RNA, 72 nt
Filed under: Camelus bactrianus (Bactrian camel)
Lineage: Eukaryota; Metazoa; Chordata; Mammalia; Artiodactyla; Camelidae
Also listed under: 2 other names
Rfam family: tRNA
About the family: Transfer RNA (tRNA) molecules are approximately 80 nucleotides in length. Their secondary structure includes four short double-helical elements and three loops (D, anti-codon, and T loops).
Source: Rfam by way of RNAcentral
AGAGUGAUGGCUCAGUGGUAGAGCACAUGCUUAGCAUGCCUGAGGUCCUGGGUUCAAUCUCCAGUACCUCCA